Molecule: non-coding RNA, 1381 nt
Organism: Coturnix japonica (Japanese quail)
Lineage: Eukaryota; Metazoa; Chordata; Aves; Galliformes; Phasianidae
Source: RefSeq, a predicted model, not a curated record
GCAAGGAUGAACACUAGAACUCUUCAGUUUCAGAUGAUCACAUUAAUUCAAGUAGACAGAAAGACCUCUUCUUUACAAGAAGACUAUGGGAGGUAAAUAGGUUGUGUGGGAACUGUUAAAUCAUGGCCUGAACCUCUGAUUUACCACCUGAGAUGAGCAGAGUUAUCUGUGGGAGCACAAGUGAAAGCAGUUCACCUGUGUGAACAGAGGGGAUGGAGCCUGGCUGCACCUCUCCUAGACCCCAUUUAAGGGCUGAGUGCCACUGGAGUUUCUGGAGAUUGCUUCUCUUGAAGUUUUCCCUGCAAGCCUACACAGUGCAGUAAAAUGAUGUUCAUUCAGGACUGAAUGUGGCCAUGGCUACUGAUGAACAUUCUGGGAAUAUCUUCAUCCUGUCAUCUCUCUGCUGCUCUAUGGGGAAAGCAGGCUGACAUGGUUAUUAAUCUGGCAGCUGUGUUGUGUGCACAUGGGAAGCAGGUGUGGAUGUCUUUUCUCCUCUGUGGAAUACUUGAAAUUCUAAAGUCAAGUACUAUAGGUCUUGGAGAACAGAAGAGGGUGCCUGAAGACUGGAGAAUAGCCAGUGUCACUACAGAAAGAGCAAGAAGGAGGUUCUGGGAAACUACAGGACAGUCAGUCUCACCUCUGUUCCUGGGAAAGUGACACAACAGCUCGUUCUGAAUGCUAUCUCAAAGCAAUUGGAAGAAAAGGUUAUGAGGAAUAGUCAACAUGGAUUCAUCAAGGGGAAAUCAGGCUCAACCAACAUUAUAGCCUUCUAUGAUGGCAUCACUGGCUGGGUAGAUGAGAGGAAAGCAGCGGAUGUUGUCUAUGUUGACUUCAGCAAGGCUUUUGAUAUUGUCUCUUGCAUUGUUCUGAUAACAAAGCUGAGAAAGUGUGGGAUAGAUGAGUAGACAGUGAGGUGGCUUGAGAACUGGCUGACUGGUUGAGCUCAGAGGGUGGUGAUCAGUGGUGCAGAGUCCAGUUGGAGACCUGUGACUAGCAGGUCAGUGACUAGCUCUCAGGUCAGUGACAAGUAACAUUAAAGACAUUGAUCUAUAUUUUGAGUAUGUGCAGUGUGCUGAAUAUAGCCUUACAGCACCUUUCAUCCUAAGAAUCAUUCAGAUCUUCUCAGAGAGGAGUGCCCUUAAAGCAGCGAUGUUGAGAGUAUGUUGGUUUUGUACAGGCUUACGAUGUAGUGGCCUGCCGAAUAGUUAUUGGGAAGUGUUACUUUUUGAAAUGUAGCUUGGUGUCCUGCUGUGCUCUUGAAAUGUAACUGAUGAGUUACUGCUGUGGUGAUGCAUAUAGAUACUUCAUUCAAUCACUGUGAUUACUUUAUGAAGUCCUUUAGACUUAUCUGGUAAACAAUAAAAAUCAAUGAAAUUACUUA